CGAACGGCAAUGAUGAAGAGUAGUAUCUUUAUUGAAAACGUCAGAGAGCUGGUGGUUGGUGUGAACCAGUGUGGACGAUAAAGAGAAUGGGCUUCUGAGCUUCUAAACCGAACCAACUUUUGUAGUAGGCUUUAGCGAAUGUCUCAUCGUUACAAGAGACAGAAAUUUGUCUUAUAAGACUGAUUUCUUAAAGUGAGCUUGAUUUAAUUAAGCUAAUGAAGGUGGCACCACGGGUUUCUCGUCCUUUUU
RNAcentral lists this non-coding RNA (249 nucleotides) under Niallia circulans. Its description in RNAcentral is "Bacillus circulans T-box sequence". It matches the Rfam family "T-box leader". From Rfam's summary of the family: Uncharged tRNA acts as the effector for transcription antitermination of genes in the T-box leader family. T-boxes are found upstream of many aminoacyl-tRNA synthetase genes and some amino acid biosynthetic genes usually in Gram-positive bacteria. The record is from RNAcentral. Lineage: Bacteria; Bacillati; Bacillota; Bacilli; Caryophanales; Bacillaceae.